GUGCAGCAGGCGCGAAACUUCACACUGUGCGAAAGCACGAUGAGGGAAUCCCAAGUGCUUGCACGUAAGUGUAAGCUGUUUCUCUGUUUAAAACGCAGAGAGAGUAAGGGCUGGGUAAGACGGGUGCCAGCCGCCGCGGUAAUACCUGCAGCUCAAGUGGUGACCGUUAUUAUUGGGCCUAAAACGUCCGUAGCCGGUUUAAUAAAUGCCUGGGUAAAUCGUGUAGCUUAACUAUACGAAUUCCGGGUAGACUGUUAAACUCGAGACCGGGAGAAGUUAGAGGUACUCCAGGGGUAGGGGUGAAAUCCUGUAAUCCCUGGGGGACCACCGGUGGCGAAGGCGUCCGACUAGAACGGGUCCGACGGUAAGGGACGAAGGCUAGGGGAGCAAGCGGGAUUAGAUACCCGGGUAGU
RNAcentral lists this ribosomal RNA (413 nucleotides) under uncultured microorganism. RNAcentral's name for it is "bacterial SSU rRNA". It matches the Rfam family "Archaeal small subunit ribosomal RNA", at positions 330 to 745 of the family's 1478-position model. The record is from RNAcentral.